UCUCCGUAGGUGAACCAGCGGAGGGAUCAUUACAGAGUUUAUGCCCUUCCGGGUUGAUCUACCAUACUGUGUUAUCGUCACCUUUGUUGCCUUGGCGGGCCGAAAAGGCCUUGGCCCGGCAAACGGCCCCGGCAGGUACGCGUCUGCCAGAAGACUCUAAAUUUUUGAAUAUAAGUAUCGUCAGAGUAAUCUGUGAUAGUUAAAAUUUUUAAAAAUGGAUCUCAUGGAUCAGGCAUCGAAGAAGAACGCAGACGAUCGGUUGUGGCAAAGUCAGGACGC
RNAcentral lists this unclassified non-coding RNA (279 nucleotides) under plant metagenome. RNAcentral describes it as "partial contains small subunit ribosomal RNA, internal transcribed spacer 1, and 5.8S ribosomal RNA". The record is from RNAcentral.